RNAcentral lists this transfer RNA (84 nucleotides) under Spirochaetales bacterium. RNAcentral describes it as "tRNA-Leu". It matches the Rfam family "tRNA". Rfam says of the family: Transfer RNA (tRNA) molecules are approximately 80 nucleotides in length. Lineage: Bacteria; Pseudomonadati; Spirochaetota; Spirochaetia; Spirochaetales. The record is from RNAcentral.
GCGGUCGUGGUGGAAUUGGUAGACACGCCAGCUUGAGGUGCUGGUGGUCGAAAGGCUAUGCUGGUUCAAGUCCAGUCGACCGCA